UACGUGGGGGGCAAGCGUUGUUCGGAAUUACUGGGCGUAAAGGGCGCGUAGGCGGUCUGUUAUGUCGGAUGUGAAAGCCCUUGGCUCAACUGAGGAAGUGCAUCCGAAACUGGCAGGCUAGAGUACUAAAGAGGAUCGCGGAAUUCCCGGUGUAGAGGUGAAAUUCGUAGAUAUCGGGAGGAACACCGGUGGCGAAGGCGGCGAUCUGGGUAGAUACUGACGCUGAGGUGCGAAAGCGUGGGGAGCAAACAGG
Molecule: ribosomal RNA, 253 nt
Filed under: uncultured bacterium
Lineage: Bacteria
Description: partial 16S ribosomal RNA
Rfam family: Bacterial small subunit ribosomal RNA
Source: RNAcentral